Molecule: ribosomal RNA, 497 nt
Filed under: uncultured bacterium
Lineage: Bacteria
Description: partial 16S ribosomal RNA
Rfam family: Bacterial small subunit ribosomal RNA
Source: RNAcentral
GACGAACGCUGGCGGCGUGCCUAAUACGUGCAAGUUGAGCGCUGAAGGUUGGUACUUGUACCGACUGGAUGAGCAGCGAACGGGUGAGUAACGCGUGGGGAAUCUGCCUUUGAGCGGGGGACAACAUUUGGAAACGAAUGCUAAUACCGCAUAAAAACUUUAAACACAAGUUUUAAGUUUGAAAGAUGCAAUUGCAUCACUCAAAGAUGAUCCCGCGUUGUAUUAGCUAGUUGGUGAGGUAAAGGCUCACCAAGGCGAUGAUACAUAGCCGACCUGAGAGGGUGAUCGGCCAAAUUGGGACUGAGACACGGCCCAAACGCCUACGGGAGGCAGCAGUAGGGAAUCUUCGGCAAUGGACGAAAGUCUGACCGAGCAACGCCGCGUGAGUGAAGAAGGUUUUCGGAUCGUAAAACUCUGUUGGUAGAGAAGAACGUUGGUGAGAGUGGAAAGCUCAUCAAGUGACGGUAACUACCCAGAAAGGGACGGCUAACUACGUG